UACGUAGGUGGCAAGCGUUGUCCGGAAUUAUUGGGCGUAAAGAGCUCGUAGGCGGUUUGUCGCGUCUGCUGUGAAAAUCCAGGGCUUAACCCUGGACCUGCAGUGGGUACGGGCAGACUAGAGUGCGGUAGGGGAGACUGGAAUUCCUGGUGUAGCGGUGGAAUGCGCAGAUAUCAGGAGGAACACCGGUGGCGAAGGCGGGUCUCUGGGCAGUAACUGACGCUGAGGAGCGAAAGCGUGGGGAGCGAACAGG
This 253-nucleotide ribosomal RNA is filed under the name uncultured bacterium. Its description in RNAcentral is "partial 16S ribosomal RNA". It matches the Rfam family "Bacterial small subunit ribosomal RNA", at positions 524 to 776 of the family's 1533-position model. The record is from RNAcentral.